This 1400-nucleotide ribosomal RNA is filed under the name Protoperidinium shanghaiense. Its description in RNAcentral is "LSU rRNA". It matches the Rfam family "Eukaryotic large subunit ribosomal RNA", at positions 43 to 1443 of the family's 3401-position model. Lineage: Eukaryota; Dinophyceae; Peridiniales; Protoperidiniaceae. The record is from RNAcentral.
UAAGUAAGCAGUGGGUGAUACACUAAGAAGGACAUCCUCAGCAAUGGCGAAUGUACAGGGAUGAGCUCAAUGUGGAAGUUGGGGUGCUCAGCCCUGAGUUGUAGUCUUGGGAUAUGCAACCAAUGAAGGUGCAGUUGCAAGUCUUUGGAAUCAGAUUGUUGGUAAAGGUGAAAACCCUGUUUAUCAUUGGUGGCCUUCAAUACAUGGUGCAUUGUCCAUGAGUUAUACCCCUUGGGAUUGGUGUGUGAAGCGGGUGGUAUAUUUCAUGCAAAGAUGAACAUGGAUCUAGGGCCAAUAGUGAACAAGUACCAUGAGGGAAAUGUGAAACAGGACUUUGGACAGAGUGAUAAUAAUGCUCGAAGUUGCCGAAGAGGAAAUGAGGGGAGCCUUCUGCUUUUUGGGGAAGAUUACCGUGUGCAGGCGUGCUUGCUUGCGCUAGACGAUGCAAGUACGGCUGUGAGUCCUGAGUGGGAGUGCGCACAGAGUGUCUUGCCCUGUGGAUCCAUGCCAGAUUAUUGCACCAGUGAAAAAGCAGGGGCUUGGUAAACUGUUGCUGGGUGGGUGAGUGUCUUUGCGUGUACACGUGGAAAUAAUGCAUGGUGACAAUGUAGUGCCAUUCAUCCUGUCUUGAAACACAGAUCAAGGAGUCUAAUGCAUGCGCAAACACAGAGUUGGCAUGACAUGCUUGUGCAAUGAACAUGUUGGCAGGGAUUUAUGCAGCUUCAACCGACAAUUCAAGUGUGGAACACAUGAGUGUGAGUGUCUAUGUUAGGACCCGAAAGGUGGUGAACUAUGCUUGUGAAGAGGUCAGUUCAGGGGAAACUCUGAUGGAGGUCUGUAGUGGUACUGACGUGCAAAUCGUUCGUCAUACAUGGGCAUAGGGGUGAAAGACUAAUCGAAUCAUCUAGUAGCUGGUUCCCUCUGAAGUUUCCCUCAGGAAAGCUAGAUCGAUUCAGUUUUAUCAGGUAAAGCAAAUGAUUUGAGGAAUCGGGGGCAUCAUGCCCUUGACCUAUUCUCAAACUCUAAAGAGGUGAAGCACUGUGGUUACAUGCAUGAGCUUAUGGGGCAAGUGGACGCUCUAAGUGGGCCGUUUUUGGUAAGCAGAACUGGCGAUGAGGGAUGAACCUAAUGUUGGACUAAAGUGCAUUGUUGCCCACGCAUCAGAUACCAUAAAGGGUGUUGGUUCAUAUUAACAGCAGGACGGUGGUCAUGGAAGUUGAAAUCUGCUAAGGAGUGUGUAAUAACUCACCUGCCGAAUGGACUAGCCCUGAAAAUGAAUAGCGCUCAAGUGGGUGACUGAUAUCCAACCUCUGCUGCAAUUGUGUCGCUUCUCUGCGUAGGAGGGUGUGGGGCUUUGUGAGGAAGCCUGAGGUGUAAACCUGGGUGAAACAGUUCUCAGC